UAUUUUUUUUCCUUCUCGCUUGUCUUCAUC
This 30-nucleotide non-coding RNA is filed under the name Rattus norvegicus (Norway rat). Lineage: Eukaryota; Metazoa; Chordata; Mammalia; Rodentia; Muridae. The record is from RNAcentral.